GGGCAAGUACACGUACCCUGCACUCCGGGAGGAGGCCCCAAGGGAACACGUGGAGAGCUUCUUCCAGAAGAUGGACAGAAACAAGGAUGGUGUGGUGACCAUUGAGGAAUUCAUGGAGUCUUGUCAAAAGGUCUAUCCUCAUCCUAGGCCUCCCUGGGGGCUGGAGGGAUCCAGGAGCUUGGGGAUUCAGUAGUCCAGAUCUCUGGAGCUGAAGGGGCCAGAGAGUGGGCAGAGUGCAUCUCGGGGGGUGUUCCUAACUCCCACCAGCUCUCACCCCCUUCCUGCCUGACACCCAGUGUUGAGAGUGCCCCUCCUGUAGGAAUUGAGUGGUUCCCCACCUCCUACCCCUACUCUAGAAACACACUAGACAGAUGUCUCCUGCUAUGGUGCUUCCCCCAUCCCUGACUUCAUAAACAUUUCCCCUAAGA
Molecule: small RNA, 428 nt
Filed under: Pongo abelii (Sumatran orangutan)
Lineage: Eukaryota; Metazoa; Chordata; Mammalia; Primates; Hominidae
Description: processed transcript
Source: RNAcentral